GGGUGGUAAAUUUCAUCUAAAGCUAAAUACUGGCCGGAGACCGAUAGCGCACAAGUAGAGUGAUCGAAAGGUUAAAAGCACCUUGAAAAGGGAGUUAAACAGCACGUGAAAUUGUUGAAAGGGAAGCGCUUGCGGCCAGACUCGGGGGGCGGGGUUCAGCGGGCGCUCGUCGCCCGUGCACUCCCCGCGUUCCCGGGCCAGCAUCAGUUUCGACGGCCGGUCAAAGGCCCCCGGAAUGUGUCGUCUCUAGGGACGUCUUAUAGCCGGGGGUGCAAUGCGGCCCGUCGGGACUGAGGAACGCGCUCCGGCUCGGAUGCUGGCGUAAUGGUCGUAAGCGGC
This 339-nucleotide ribosomal RNA is filed under the name Epidermophyton floccosum. RNAcentral describes it as "eukaryotic LSU rRNA". It matches the Rfam family "Eukaryotic large subunit ribosomal RNA", at positions 294 to 648 of the family's 3401-position model. Lineage: Eukaryota; Fungi; Ascomycota; Eurotiomycetes; Onygenales; Arthrodermataceae. The record is from RNAcentral.